AAGUGUCCCUCUAUAUGGGGCAUAUCAACAACCAUAUAUGAUCACACUUACUCCUUUGCUACUACAUAUAUGAAAGCAAGAUUAAGAAGGUUUGACAUAAUAUCAAAGAUGUUCAUGUAUGUCUUGUGUAUUUAUUAUUUGUAUUCUUGAAUCUUAACUUGUAUUCAUGAAUGAAAAGGAAGAAAGUGUGAGAGUUAUAAUUGAUGAGAUUUUAGGUUGUGAUUGUGAUAUUUUAUGAUAGAAAU
RNAcentral lists this long non-coding RNA (245 nucleotides) under Gossypium barbadense (sea-island cotton). Its description in RNAcentral is "long non-coding RNA (GBAR_LNC002618)". The record is from RNAcentral. Lineage: Eukaryota; Viridiplantae; Streptophyta; Magnoliopsida; Malvales; Malvaceae.